AGAGCGAACGCUGGCGGCAGGCUUAACACAUGCAAGUCGAGCGGGCGUAGCAAUACGUCAGCGGCAGACGGGUGAGUAACGCGUGGGAACGUACCUUUUGGUUCGGAACAACCCAGGGAAACUUGGGCUAAUACCGGAUAAGCCCUUACGGGGAAAGAUUUAUCGCCGAAAGAUCGGCCCGCGUCUGAUUAGCUAGUUGGUGGGUAAUGGCCCACCAAGGCGACGAUCAGUAGCUGGUCUGAGAGGAUGAUCAGCCACAUUGGGACUGAGACACGGCCCAAACUCCUACGGGAGGCAGCAGUGGGGAAUAUUGGACAAUGGGCGCAAGCCUGAUCCAGCCAUGCCGCGUGAGUGAUGAAGGCCCUAGGGUUGUAAAGCUCUUUGUGCGGGAAGAUAAUGACGGUACCGCAAGAAUAAGCCCCGGCUAACUUCGUGCCAGCAGCCGC
RNAcentral lists this ribosomal RNA (446 nucleotides) under uncultured bacterium. Its description in RNAcentral is "SSU rRNA". It matches the Rfam family "Bacterial small subunit ribosomal RNA", at positions 26 to 518 of the family's 1533-position model. The record is from RNAcentral.